This 564-nucleotide ribosomal RNA is filed under the name uncultured archaeon. Its description in RNAcentral is "bacterial SSU rRNA". It matches the Rfam family "Archaeal small subunit ribosomal RNA", at positions 313 to 879 of the family's 1478-position model. The record is from RNAcentral.
GCGAUUCGCCCUUCGGGGUGCAGCAGGCGCGAAACCUUAGCAAUGUGCGAAAGCACGACUGGAUCAGUCCGAGUGAUUCCUGAUAAAGGAGUCUUUUGCUUGUCCUAAAAGCACAGGUGAAUAAGGGGUGGGCAAGUCUGGUGUCAGCCGCCGCGGUAAUACCAGCACCUCGAGUGGUCAGGACGUUUGUUGGGCCUAAAGCAUCCGUAGCCGGCUCUGCAAGUCUUCGGUUAAAUCCACCUGCUCAACAGAUGGGCUGCUGGAGAUACUACAGAGCUAGGGAGUGGGAGAGGCAGACGGUAUUCAGUGGGUAGGGGUAAAAUCCUCUGAUCCAUUGAGGACCACCAGUGGCGAAGGCGGUCUGCCAGAACACGUUCGACGGUGAGGGAUGAAAGCUGGGGGAGCAAACCGGAUUAGAUACCCGGGUAGUCCCAGCUGUAAACGAUGCAAACUCGGUGAUGCAUUGGCUUAUGGCCAAUGCAGUGCCGCAGGGAAGCCGUUAAGUUUGCCGCCUGGGAAGUACGGACGCAAGUCUGAAACUUAAAGGAAUUGGCGGGGGAGCAC